UCCGAGUUGUCCCCGGCAGUCCUUUUAGAGUCCCCGGCAUUACCCGCUGGCAACUAAAAGCAGGGGUUGCGCUCGUCGCGGGACUUAACCCAACAUCUCACGACACGAGCUGACGACAGCCAUGCACCACCUGUGAUGGUGUCCCGAAGGAAAGCCGUGUUUCCACGGCGGUCACCAACAUGUCAAGGCCAGGUAAGGUUCUUCGCGUUGCAUCGAAUUAAACCACAUACUCCACCGCUUGUGCGGGCCCCCGUCAAUUUCUUUGAGUUUUAAUCUUGCGACCGUACUCCCCAGGCGGAUAACUUAAUGCGUUAGCUGCGCCACCAAAAGCCUAAGGCCCCUGACAGCUAGUUAUCAUCGUUUACGGCGUGGACUAC
This 377-nucleotide unclassified non-coding RNA is filed under the name uncultured bacterium. RNAcentral describes it as "contains 16S-23S intergenic spacer region". The record is from RNAcentral.